This 74-nucleotide small nucleolar RNA is filed under the name Komagataella phaffii GS115. RNAcentral describes it as "small nucleolar RNA snR79". The record is from RNAcentral. Lineage: Eukaryota; Fungi; Ascomycota; Pichiomycetes; Pichiales; Pichiaceae.
UCUGGUGAUGAGAUCGAAACGUUGCUUGAAUUUAUCAUGUGAGCACAAAUUUAAGACUAUAACGGUAUCUGAAU